GAAAAUUUUUUCGGUUGGGGAUGGGCUUCGCGGCCUUAUCAGCUUGUUGGUGGGGUAAAGGCCUACCAAGGCGACGACGGGUAGCCGGCCUGAGAGGGCGACCGGCCACACUGGGACUGAGACACGGNCCAGACUCCUACGGGAGGCAGCAGUGGGGAAUAUUGCACAAUGGGGGAAACCCUGAUGCAGCGACGCCGCGUGAGNGAUGACGGCCUUCGGGUUGUAAACCUCUUUCAGUAGGGAAGAAGCCUUUCGGGGUGACGGUACCUGCAGAAGAAGUACCGGCUAACUACGUGCCAGCAGCCGCGGUAAUACGUAGGGUACAAGCGUUGUCCGGAAUUAUUGGGCGUAAAGAGCUCGUAGGCGGUCCGUCGCGUCUGCUGUGGAAACGCAAGGCUCAACCUUGCGCGUGCAGUGNGUACGGGCGGACUAGAGUGCAGUAGGGGAGUCUGGAAUUCCUGGUGUAGCGGUGAAAUGCGCAGAUAUCAGGAGGAACACCGGUGGCGAAGGCGGGACUCUGGGCUGUUACUGACGCUGAGGAGCGAAAGCAUGGGGAGCGAACAGGAUUAGAUACCCUGGUAGUCCAUGCCGUAAACGUUGGGCACUAGGUGUGGGGCUCAUUCCACGAGUUCCGCGCCGCAGCUAACGCAUUAAGUGCCCCGCCUGGGGAGUACGGCCGCAAGGCUAAAACUCAAAGGAAUUGACGGGGGCCCGCACAAGCGGCGGAGCAUGCGGAUUAAUUCGAUGCAACGCGAAGAACCUUACCAAGGCUUGACAUACACCGGAAUGUGCCAGAGAUGGUUCAGCCCUUUGGGCUGGUGUACAGGUGGUGCAUGGUUGUCGUCAGCUCGUGUCGUGAGAUGUUGGGUUAAGUCCCGCAACGAGCGCAACCCUCGUUCUAUGUUGCCAGCACGUGAUGGUGGGAACUCAUAGGAGACUGCCGGGGUCAACUCGGAGGAAGGUGGGGAUGACGUCAAAUCAUCAUGCCCUUUAUGUCUUGGGCUUCACGCAUGCUACAAUGGUCGGUACAAAGGGUUGCGAGACCGUGAGGUGGAGCGAAUCCCAGAAAGCCGAUCUCAGUUCGGAUGGUAGUCUGCAACUCGACUACGGAAGUCGGAGUCGCUAG
This 1126-nucleotide ribosomal RNA is filed under the name uncultured bacterium. Its description in RNAcentral is "bacterial SSU rRNA". It matches the Rfam family "Bacterial small subunit ribosomal RNA", at positions 202 to 1338 of the family's 1533-position model. The record is from RNAcentral.